This 460-nucleotide ribosomal RNA is filed under the name uncultured bacterium. RNAcentral's name for it is "partial 16S ribosomal RNA". It matches the Rfam family "Bacterial small subunit ribosomal RNA", at positions 338 to 795 of the family's 1533-position model. The record is from RNAcentral.
CCUACGGGAGGCAGCAGUGAGGAAUAUUGGUCAAUGGACGCAAGUCUGAACCAGCCAUGCAGCGUGCAGGAAGACGGCUCUAUGAGUUGUAAACUGCUUUUGUACGAGGGUAAACGCAGAUACGCGUAUCUGUCUGAAAGUAUCGUACGAAUAAGGAUCGGCUAACUCCGUGCCAGCAGCCGCGGUAAUACGGAGGAUUCAAGCGUUAUCCGGAUUUAUUGGGUUUAAAGGGUGCGUAGGCGGUCUGAUAAGUUAGAUGUGAAAUCCCGAGGCUCAACUUCGGAAUUGCCUCUGAUACUGUUCGGCUAGAGAGUAGUUGCGGUAGGCGGAAUGUAUGGUGUAGCGGUGAAAUGCUUAGAGAUCAUACAGAACACCGAUUGCGAAGGCAGCUUACCAAGCUACUUCUGACGUUGAGGCACGAAAGCGUGGGUAGCAAACAGGAUUAGAUACCCUAGUAGUC